GAUGAACGCUGGCGGCGUGCCAAAUACAUGCAAGUCGAGCGAACAGACGAGGAGCUUGCUCCUCUGACGUUAGCGGCGGACGGGUGAGUAACACGUGGAUAACCUACCUAUAAGACUGGGAUAACUUCGGGAAACCGGAGCUAAUACCGGAUAAUAUAUUGAACCGCAUGGUUCAAUAGUGAAAGACGGUUUUGCUGUCACUUAUAGAUGGAUCCGCGCCGCAUUAGCUAGUUGGUAAGGUAACGGCUUACCAAGGCAACGAUGCGUAGCCGACCUGAGAGGGUGAUCGGCCACACUGGAACUGAGACACGGUCCAGACUCCUACGGGAGGCAGCAGUAGGGAAUCUUCCGCAAUGGGCGAAAGCCUGACGGAGCAACGCCGCGUGAGUGAUGAAGGUCUUCGGAUCGUAAAACUCUGUUUUUAGGGAAGAACAAAUGUGUAAGUAACUAUGCACGUCUUGACGGUACCUAAUCAGAAAGCCACGGCUAACUACGUG
RNAcentral lists this ribosomal RNA (497 nucleotides) under uncultured bacterium. RNAcentral's name for it is "partial 16S ribosomal RNA". It matches the Rfam family "Bacterial small subunit ribosomal RNA", at positions 28 to 507 of the family's 1533-position model. The record is from RNAcentral.